Molecule: ribosomal RNA, 428 nt
Filed under: Actinomycetes bacterium
Lineage: Bacteria; Bacillati; Actinomycetota; Actinomycetes
Description: Actinobacteria bacterium partial 16S ribosomal RNA
Rfam family: Bacterial small subunit ribosomal RNA
Source: RNAcentral
UAGGGAAUCUUCCGCAAUGGGCGAAAGCCUGACGGAGCAACGCCGCGUGAGUGAUGAAGGUCUUCGGAUCGUAAAACUCUGUUAUUAGGGAAGAACAAAUGUGUAAGAACUAUGCACGUCUUGACGGUACCUAAUCAGAAAGCCACGGCUAACUACGUGCCAGCAGCCGCGGUAAUACGUAGGUGGCAAGCGUUAUCCGGAAUUAUUGGGCGUAAAGCGCGCGUAGGCGGUUUUUUAAGUCUGAUGUGAAAGCCCACGGCUCAACCGUGGAGGGUCAUUGGAAACUGGAAAACUUGAGUGCAGAAGAGGAAAGUGGAAUUCCAUGUGUAGCGGUGAAAUGCGCAGAGAUAUGGAGGAACACCAGUGGCGAAGGCGACUUUCUGGUCUGUAACUGACGCUGAUGUGCGAAAGCGUGGGGAUCAAACAGG